This 374-nucleotide ribosomal RNA is filed under the name uncultured bacterium. Its description in RNAcentral is "bacterial SSU rRNA". It matches the Rfam family "Bacterial small subunit ribosomal RNA", at positions 335 to 698 of the family's 1533-position model. The record is from RNAcentral.
ACUCCUACGGGAGGCAGCAGUGGGGAAUAUUGCACAAUGGGGGAAACCCUGAUGCAGCCAUGCCGCGUGUGUGAAGAAGGCCUUGGGUUGUAAAGCACUUUCAGUAGGGAGGAAGGUAGUGUAGUUAACACCUGCAUUAUUUGUACGUUACCUACAGAAGAAGCACCGGCUAACUCCGUGCCAGCAGCCGCGGUAAGUACGGAGGGUGCGAGCGUUAAUCGGAAUUACGUGGGCGUAAAGCGCAUGCAGGCGGCCUGUUAAGUCAGAUGUGAAACGCCCGGGGUCUUAACCUCGGAAUUGCAUUUGAAACUGGCAGGCUAGAGUCUUGUAGAGGGGUUAGAAUUUCAGGUGUAGCGGUGAAAUGCGUAGAGAUC